GACGAACGCUGGCGGCGUGCUUAACACAUGCAAGUCGAGCGGUAAGGCCCUUUCGGGGGUACACGAGCGGCGAACGGGUGAGUAACACGUGGGUGACCUGCCCUUAGCUCUGGGAUAAGCCUGGGAAACCGGGUCUAAUACCGGAUAUGACUCCAUGACGCAUGUUGUGGGGUGGAAAGCCUUGUGCGGCUGGGGAUGGGCCCGCGGCCUAUCAGCUUGUUGGUGGGGUGAUGGCCUACCAAGGCGA
This 247-nucleotide ribosomal RNA is filed under the name uncultured Actinomycetes bacterium. Its description in RNAcentral is "uncultured actinobacterium partial 16S ribosomal RNA". It matches the Rfam family "Bacterial small subunit ribosomal RNA", at positions 28 to 276 of the family's 1533-position model. The record is from RNAcentral. Lineage: Bacteria; Bacillati; Actinomycetota; Actinomycetes.